This 492-nucleotide ribosomal RNA is filed under the name uncultured bacterium. Its description in RNAcentral is "partial 16S ribosomal RNA". It matches the Rfam family "Bacterial small subunit ribosomal RNA", at positions 29 to 507 of the family's 1533-position model. The record is from RNAcentral.
AGUGAACGCUGGCGGUAGGCCUAACACAUGCAGGUCGAACGGCAGCACAGUAAGAGCUUGCUCUUACGGGUGGCGAGUGGCGGACGGGUGAGGAAUAUAUCGGAAUCUACUUUUUCGUGGGGGAUAACGUAGGGAAACUUACGAUAAUACCGCAUACGACCUACGGGUGAAAGCAGGGGAUCUUCGGACCUUGCGCGAUUGAAUGAGCCGAUGUCGGAUUAGCUAGUUGGCGGGGUAAAGGCCCACCAAGGCGACGAUCCGUAGCUGGUCUGAGAGGAUGAUCAGCCACACUGGAACUGAGACACGGUCCAGACUCCUACGGGAGGCAGCAGUGGGGAAUAUGGGACAAUGGGCGCAAGCCUGAUCCAGCCAUACCGCGUGGGUGAAGAAGGCCUUCGGGUUGUAAAGCCCUUUUGUUGGGAAAGAAAAGCAGCAGGUUAAGACCCCGCUGUUCUGACGGUACCCAAUGAAUAAGCACCGGCUAACUUCGUG